GUACGUAGUAAGACACAGGGAUUGCCCUAGUAACGGCGAGUGAAGCGGCAACAGCUCAAAUUUGAAAUCUGGCCUUCGGGUCCGAGUUGUAAUUUGUAGAGGAUGCUUUUGGCGCGGUGCCUUCCGAGUUCCCUGGAAUGGGACGCCUUAGAGGGUGAGAGCCCCGUAUGGUUGGACACCAAGCCUCUGUAAAGCUCCUUCGACGAGUCGAGUAGUUUGGGAAUGCUGCUCUAAAUGGGAGGUAAAUUUCUUCUAAAGCUAAAUAUUGGCCAGAGACCGAUAGCGCACAAGUAGAGUGAUCGAAAGAUGAAAAGCACUUUGAAAAGAGGGUUAAAUAGCACGUGAAAUUGUUGAAAGGGAAGCGUUUGCGACCAGACCUUUUCGUAGCGGAUCAUCCGGUGUUCUCACCGGUGCACUUCGCUUCGUUUAGGCCAGCAUCGGUUUCUGUAGGGGGAUAAAAGCCUGGGGAACGUAGCUCCCCCGGGAGUGUUAUAGCCCCUCGCAUAAUACCCUUACGGGGACCGAGGACCGCGCUUUAUGCAAGGAUGCUGGCGUAAUGGUCGUCAACGACCCGUCUUGAAACACGGACCAAGGAGUCGAACAUUUAUGCGAGUGUUUGGGUGUUAAACCCUCACGCGUAAUGAAAGUGAACGGAGGUGAGAGCCCUUACGGGUGCAUCAUCGACCGAUCCUGAUGUCUUCGGAUGGAUUUGAGUAAGAGCAUAACUGUUCGGACCCGAAAGAUGGUGAACUAUGCGUGGAUAGGGUGAAGCCAGAGGAAACUCUGGUGGAGGCUCGCAGCGGUUCUGACGUGCAAAUCGAUCGUCAAAUCUGCGCAUGGGGGCGAAAGACUUAUCGAACCAUCUAGUAGCUGGUUACCGCCGAAGUUUCCCUCAGGAUAGCAGUGUUGUUCUUCAGUUUUAUGAGGUAAAGCGAAUGAUUAGGGACUCGGGGGCGCUUUUUAGCCUUCAUCCAUUCUCAAACUUUAAAUAUGUAAGAAGCCCUUGUUACUUAAUUGAACGUGGGCAUUCGAAUGUACCAACACUAGUGGGCCAUUUUUGGUAAGCAGAACUGGCGAUGCGGGAUGAACCGAACGCGGGGUUAAGGUGCCGGAGUGGACGCUCAUCAGACACCACAAAAGGUGUUAGCACAUUUAGACAAUAGGACGGUGGCCAUGGAAGUCGGAAUCCGCUAAGGACUGUGUAACAACUCACCUAUCGAAUGUGCUAGCCCUGAAAAUGGAUGGCGCUCAAGCGUCCCACCCAUACCUCGCCCUCAGGGUAGAAACGAUGCCCUGAGGAGUAGGCGGCCGUGGGGGUCAGUGACGAAG
This 1329-nucleotide ribosomal RNA is filed under the name Xylaria sp. 5128. Its description in RNAcentral is "eukaryotic LSU rRNA". It matches the Rfam family "Eukaryotic large subunit ribosomal RNA", at positions 52 to 1408 of the family's 3401-position model. Lineage: Eukaryota; Fungi; Ascomycota; Sordariomycetes; Xylariales; Xylariaceae. The record is from RNAcentral.